CUCAAGUUGAUCGCUAUCGGCGUUAAGCGUGAUUAAAGUCCACUUAGAUUAGGGUUAAAUUAAUACUUAGUAGUUUAAAGCUUGUCAUUAAGAGAACCACAAACGAAAGUUACCCUAACCAAUACACUUGAAUACACGACAGCCGGGGAACAAACUAGGAUCAGAUACCCUAUUAUGCCCAGCCGUAAACAAUUAACUUACAUCUAUAAACGCCAGGGAAUUACGAGCUACGCUUAAAACCCAAAGGAUUUGACGGUGUCCCACCCACCUAGAGGAGCCUGUUCUAUAAUCGAUAAUACCCGCUAUACCCAACCACCUCUUGCUAUUCAGUCUGUAUACCUCCGUCGAAAGCUUACCAUGUGAACGCCUACAGUGAGUACAAUUACCCCCAACGUCAACACGUCAGGUCAAGGUGCAGCUUAAGGGGUGGAAAGAAAUGGGCUACAAUUUCUAAUCUAGAACAAACGAAAGACUAUGUGAAAUCAUGGUACUGAAGGCGGAUUUAGCAGUAAAAAGAAAAUAGAGCGUUCUUUUUAACCUGGCUCUGGGACGCGUACACACCGCCCGUCACCCUCUUCAAUAGUAUCAUCACCAGUUCAUAACCAGUUUUUACAUCUUAGAAGAGGCAAGUCGUAACAUGGUAAGUGUACUGGAAAGUGCACUUGGAAUAUAA
This 673-nucleotide ribosomal RNA is filed under the name Odorrana livida (green cascade frog). RNAcentral's name for it is "partial 12S ribosomal RNA". It matches the Rfam family "Bacterial small subunit ribosomal RNA", at positions 608 to 1533 of the family's 1533-position model. Lineage: Eukaryota; Metazoa; Chordata; Amphibia; Anura; Ranidae. The record is from RNAcentral.